UACGUAGGGUGCGAGCGUUGUCCGGAAUUAUUGGGCGUAAAGCGCACGUAGGCGGCCGACUAAGUCGGGUGUGAAAGCCCAGGGCUCAACCCUGGAAGUGCACUCGAAACUGGUCGGCUUGAAUAUGGAAGAGGGUCGCGGAAUUCCCGGUGUAGAGGUGAAAUUCGUAGAUAUCGGGAGGAACACCAGUGGCGAAGGCGGCGACCUGGGCCAAUAUUGACGCUGAGGAGCGAAAGCGUGGGGAGCAAACAGG
Molecule: ribosomal RNA, 253 nt
Filed under: uncultured bacterium
Lineage: Bacteria
Description: partial 16S ribosomal RNA
Rfam family: Bacterial small subunit ribosomal RNA
Source: RNAcentral